Long non-coding RNA from Cucumis sativus (cucumber), 1102 nucleotides. RefSeq lists it as uncharacterized. The record is from RefSeq and is a predicted model, not a curated record. NCBI's taxonomy places the organism in Eukaryota, Viridiplantae, Streptophyta, Magnoliopsida, Cucurbitales, Cucurbitaceae. The transcript is spliced from 2 exons.
UUGCCCCCGCUUGUUUUCAUUUUUGUUAACGCUUCAAAUACCUCUCUUCGAUUUCAUUUCCAUUCGUUCACGCCCCACGCUCAAUUCCAUCCUCUCUUCAAUUCCAUCUCUCCCCACAUUCACUCUUUGAUUUUGUUCGUUCACGCUCAUUCAUUCUCAUCUCGUCUCAAACCUCUCUUCGAUUUCGUUCACGCCCAAGGGAAGAAAAAAUCCUCUCUUGCUGGUUGGUGUAUUAGAAACUGAUAUGGGUUGUUUCCAUCUUCAAACUUUAGGACAAAUAAUUGAUCUUCCUUCACUAACCUUCGGACACUAAAAACAAACAUUAUAGAGAGUGAUAGUGAGAGCAAUCCAAAUGGUGGAGAUAGAGGCUGAUCUAUGUCCCAUGAUUUUAUUCUCUGUCUCAGAUUAUGUUUGAGGGAAUUUUGGGGUGUUUUACCCAAAAGCGGUUGUGGGUUUUACAAUAUUAGUUGCUAGAGAAAGUGCUAGUGGUCAGCAGCAAAGGAUAAACUCUUGUUGUGGUUAUUAUGAACAAUAGUGGUGGUGGUGGUGAGGUGAGGAUGGAAGUAGGACUGUAGUUUUAGGUGAAAUGGCAAGUGGAAUGAUGGGGAUGAAUAAAUCACCUUUAACGAUGUUACAGUGAGGGGCUAGAACUUCAGGCUCUGAUCUUUAAAUUUAUGAUGGCAGAAGAUUCUCUAAAACGUGAGUCUAGGAGCAAGGUUCGCCAUGCUGACAUCCAAGCUUCCAAGGUUUGUGUUAUUUGCUUCUUAAGCUUUACUUUAAUAUGAAGUUCUUGCCAUUCCAUGUCAUUUUCACUUCUCCUGUUGGUUGUAGCCAACAUUAUUCAUACCCUCUUGGGCCCAAGACCUAUGUUGAAGAUGUUACUUGAUGCUCAAGGAGGUUUUUUCUUUUUUUUUUUACCCCUUUUCUUUUAAUUGUUGGAUGACAAUAUGAAUCUGUUUUUGUAUUUCCGUCGCAAGUGACAAUAUUUUGUCACUGUUUAAUUGUUUCAAGUAGAGUCCAAUGAUUUCCCAUCUUCUGAAACUUUCAAACGAAUAUGGUUAUGUUAAUUUUGUUUGCUCUACUCCGAGUUAGUUGCUGACUA